UACAGAGGGGGCAAGCGUUGUUCGGAAUUACUGGGCGUAAAGGGCGCGUAGGCGGCCCUCUAAGUCAGACGUGAAAUCCCUCGGCUCAACCGGGGAACUGCGUCUGAGACUGGAAGGCUUGAAUUCGGGAGAGGGAUGUGGAAUUCCAGGUGUAGCGGUGAAAUGCGUAGAUAUCUGGAGGAAUACCGGUGGCGAAGGCGGCAUCCUGGACCAUUACUGACGCUGAGGCGCGAAAGCUAGGGGAGCAAACGGG
RNAcentral lists this ribosomal RNA (253 nucleotides) under uncultured prokaryote. Its description in RNAcentral is "partial 16S ribosomal RNA". It matches the Rfam family "Bacterial small subunit ribosomal RNA", at positions 524 to 776 of the family's 1533-position model. The record is from RNAcentral.